UACAGAGGUCUCAAGCGUUGUUCGGAUUCAUUUGGGCGUAAAGGGUGCGUAGGUGGCGCCGUAAGUCAGGUGUGAAAUUUCGGAGCUUAACUCCGAAACUGCAUUUGAUACUGCGGUGCUUGAGGACUGGAGGAGGAGACUGGAAUUCGACGGUGUAGCAGUGAAAUGCGUAGAUAUCGUGAGGAAGACCCAGUGGCGAAGGCGGGGUCUCUGGACAGUUCCUGACACUGAGGCACGAAGGCUAGGGGAGCAACGGG
Molecule: ribosomal RNA, 257 nt
Filed under: uncultured bacterium
Lineage: Bacteria
Description: partial 16S ribosomal RNA
Rfam family: Bacterial small subunit ribosomal RNA
Source: RNAcentral